Ictalurus punctatus (channel catfish) is the source of this 196-nucleotide small nuclear RNA. Its record names the gene U2. It matches the Rfam family "U2 spliceosomal RNA". Rfam says of the family: U2 is a small nuclear RNA (snRNA) component of the spliceosome (involved in pre-mRNA splicing). Complementary binding between U2 snRNA (in an area lying towards the 5' end but 3' to hairpin I) and the branchpoint sequence (BPS) of the intron results the bulging out of an unpaired adenosine, on the BPS, which initiates a nucleophilic attack at the intronic 5' splice site, thus starting the first of two transesterification reactions that mediate splicing. The record is from Ensembl. NCBI's taxonomy places the organism in Eukaryota, Metazoa, Chordata, Actinopteri, Siluriformes, Ictaluridae.
AUGUUUUUUUAAAAAUGAGUUUCGUAAUAAAAUAAAAUAAAAAAUCUGUUCUCAUCAGUUUAAUACCUGAUACGUCCUCCAUUCGAGGACUUUAUAUUAAAUGGAUUUUUAGAGCAAGGAGCUGGGAGAGGGGCUUGCUCCAUCUGCUCCACAUCCAAUCUGGAAUUGCAGUACCUCCAGGAAUGGUGCACCUUUU